This 482-nucleotide ribosomal RNA is filed under the name uncultured bacterium. RNAcentral's name for it is "bacterial SSU rRNA". It matches the Rfam family "Bacterial small subunit ribosomal RNA", at positions 30 to 507 of the family's 1533-position model. The record is from RNAcentral.
AUUGAACGCUGGCGGUAUGCUUAACACAUGCAAGUCGAACGGUAGCAGGCCUUCGGGCGCUGACGAGUGGCGGACGGGUGAGUAAUGCAUAGGAAUCUGCCUCGUAGUGGGGGACAACUUAGGGAAACUUAAGCUAAUACCGCAUACGCCCUGAGGGGGAAAGCGGGGGGCUCGCAAGACCUCGCGCUAUGAGAUGAGCCUAUGUUGGAUUAGCUAGUUGGUGGGGUAAAGGCCUACCAAGGCGACGAUCCAUAGCUGGUCUGAGAGGAUGAUCAGCCACACUGGGACUGAGACACGGCCCAGACUCCUACGGGAGGCAGCAGUGGGGAAUAUUGGACAAUGGGCGAAAGCCUGAUCCAGCAAUACCGCGUGUGUGAAGAAGGCCUGAGGGUUGUAAAGCACUUUCAAUAGGGAGGAAAAAGCGUAGAUUAAUACUCUGCGUAUUGACAUUACCUAUAGAAGAAGCACCGGCUAACUCCGUG